Molecule: long non-coding RNA, 2514 nt
Filed under: Marmota monax (woodchuck)
Lineage: Eukaryota; Metazoa; Chordata; Mammalia; Rodentia; Sciuridae
Source: RNAcentral
CUUUUUAACCUAUUGAAAAUUCAUAGAAUUAUGCAGUUAAGGAAUGUCAGGACUGGAAGGAUCUUUUUUUAGACCAUUUAUCUAAUUCCUGAUUUUUUAGGUUGAUCAUCUGGUUCCUGAUACUCAAGGUGUGUCCAUGAAUCACGGCAUCGGCAUCACCUGGGGCUUUUUAGAGACAGACUCUCAGGCCCCACACAGACCUGUGAAUCAGAACCCGCAUUUAAACAGGAUCCUCAGAUGACCUGCAUGCACAUAAAGUUGGAGAAGCCCUGCUCAAGUCAACCUCCCAUUUGACUCUUGAGAAAACCAGGAAAGUCAUAGUUGCCCAGAGCCACACAACUGUUUAUUUCACAUCUUGGGAUCACUUGGGAACUAUUAAUGCUGGGGUCCACUCCCCAGACAUUCUGCCCUAACUGGUCAGGAUUGCAGUCUGGGCAUCAGAAUUAAAAAAAAAAAAAAAAAAAAAAAAUCUCCCUAGAUGACUGGCUGAGGCUGAGAAUUGUUGAUUUGUUUAAUGAUGAAAUUCAGGUUUCUUGAUAUUCUAAUCAAGCAUUUCCUUUACCCCACCAUGGAUAUACAUUUAGGAACAACAAAAAAAGUUCCACUGAGUUCUCAUAGUAGCACAUCACUCUUCUGUUUCCUUUGUAACAUUUAUCCCUAUUAGAAAGUAUCCCACUUACUGUCUGCCUUGCUCCUCUGACAUGCAUCUAUGGUGGGCAGGCCCCUUGCUUGUCUUGUUGACUGCUGGAUCCCAGUUCCCAGAACAGUGUCUGGCAUGUGGCAGGUUCUCCUUUCAUAAUUUUAGACCAAAUGGAAGGAAUUAUAAUAAGGAGAGAAACACAGGCUGCUUUAGAGGCACUCAGAGGGCUGCCUAGCCUUGCCGCUAGAGGCUUUCUGAUGGACUAAUGCAUGGGCCAGUGCAAGACUUGGCCAAGUAGAGCCCAGGACUUCCACAGAUGAGGGAGGGUGCAAGCCCACAUCUCUCUGACUUGAAAGCUUGUGCCUUUCCAGUCUGCCCUGUUGUCCUGAGAGGCUGGUUUGCCUGGACUUCUCCACAGUGAACUGGGGAACUGGGAUGGACCACUUCAGCUCUACAGAUACUUGGGGCUGCCUCCUCCCUCUGUGGCUGAGUUACCACAGUAUUACAGACAGGCAUCUAGUGACAGCGAUGCUCAGUUUGUGGUCCUGUGCAAGACCCUCACUCACUGCUCAGCACAGGAGAUCUUCUUCAAAAGCAGCCAUUCCCUUUCCACUUUUCUUGUGCUUUGGCUAAUGUGUUGUGAGAGCCUGGAGGUUUUGAGGUUAGGAUGACUUACUAGAUUUUACUCUCAACUUAUGUGAGUUGCUUUCCUAGUUAAAUUAACUGUUAAACUUUAUUAUACCACUGCUAUAAGAAAGCAUGCUUGAUUUUGUCCACGAUAUUUUUGUUAUAGAUACUAUUUUCAUGCUUACUUUUUCCUGUUUGUUAUUUGGAACAUUUUACCACUGAUUUACUUGUCAUCAGACUUUGAAUUUGGGUAUGAAGAUCCUUUUUUUAUGAAGCUGUUCAUUAGCGUGUCUCACUGAGCAUAAAUUUUGACUGGGACCAUGGUUAAGAUAUCUUGAAAAAUGCUUCAUCUUUUGCUGUCUGCUUUUGGUAAUAGGAUAUCAGAAAAUAUCUUCUUGAAUAUAAGAUUUUUUUUAAACACCAUAAAACUUUUGUUUUUGGUACUGGGGAUCGAACCCAGGGGCACUUAGCAACUGAGCUAUAUCUCUAGCCCUUUUUAAUUUUUAUUUUGAGACAGGAUCUUGCUAAGUUGCUGAGGCUGGUCUCAAACUUGCAACCCUCCUGCCUCAUCCUCUGGAGUGAGUCACUGGGAUUACAGGGAUUACACACACUUGGCCUAGCACCAUAAACUAAAAGUUUCAGUUUAGAAUCUGUAUGAGUAUGAGAAUGUUGCCUUUGUGUUGCAGUGGGCUGUUGGAGACUGUAGAUGUCGGAGGAAGGCAAGUUCUGCUGAUGUCACAUCAGCCUCUUUGCAUGCUAUCAUCCCAUUCUCUGAGGGUAGUCCAUAGUUCAGAGGGAGGAUCCUUGGAUCCAGAUGCUUUCCCAGGUAUCAUGGGCUGAACUCAGGGGUGCUUUACCACCGAACUACAUCCCCAGCCCUUUUAAAAAAUAUUUUAUUUAGGGAUGGGGUCUCACUGAGUUGCUUAGGGCCUUGAUAAGUUGCUGAGGCUGGCUUUGAACUCCCGAUCCUCCUGCCUCUGUCUCCCAAACCACUAGGAUUACAAGCGUGCACAGUGUGCUCAGCCCCAGGUUGUUAAUUCACAUAUUACUAUAGGUAGCCACUGCUGAUGAACUCAAAGAGAGACAGUUAAAAGCCUAAGAACAAGAAUUUUUCCAGAAACAGAAAAGAAUUAAGGAGUUGAUGGUUAUCCUGGUAGCUUGAAGGCAUUUUAUGGAGAAGGAUUUAUUAUAUGGACCCUGAAAAUAAUUUGACUUCUGAAGCACUUGACUAUGGAUGCAAGGGAGAG